This 253-nucleotide ribosomal RNA is filed under the name uncultured bacterium. RNAcentral's name for it is "partial 16S ribosomal RNA". It matches the Rfam family "Bacterial small subunit ribosomal RNA", at positions 524 to 776 of the family's 1533-position model. The record is from RNAcentral.
UACAGAGGGUGCGAGCGUUAAUCGGAAUUACUGGGCGUAAAGCGCGCGUAGGCGGCUUUGCAAGUCGGGUGUGAAAUCCCCAGGCUUAACCUGGGAACUGCAUUCGAGACUGCAUUGCUAGAGUAUGGGAGAGGGAAGUGGAAUUUCCGGUGUAGCGGUGAAAUGCGUAGAUAUCGGAAGGAACACCAAUGGCGAAAGCAGGUAACUGGACUAUUACUGACACUCAGCUGCGAAAGCUAGGGGAGCAAACAGG